Molecule: RNA transcript, 2748 nt
Organism: Ictalurus punctatus (channel catfish)
Lineage: Eukaryota; Metazoa; Chordata; Actinopteri; Siluriformes; Ictaluridae
Gene: lpcat3
Gene name: lysophosphatidylcholine acyltransferase 3
Exons: 14
Source: RefSeq, a predicted model, not a curated record
AACAGAACUCGGUCAGGAGAGAGAGAGGUGAGCUCGCGAGCUGCCGCACACAAUCACGGAAACUACCGUUAACGCCACUUCCGCCCACAAGAAACAUGGCGUCUUCCUUGACGGAGAACCUGGCGGAAUAUUUAGGCUCACCCGAGCCGGCAGUUCGACUAAUUCUUUCUAUUUUAAUAGGUUAUCCUUUUGCGCUGGUGUACCGGCGGUUUCUGUUCCAUCAGUCUCCAUCUGUCAUUCAUCUAUUCCAUGCUGUCUCAGGCCUGUCCUUGGCCAUGUUCAACUUUGGCUCUCAGGUGUAUCACUCUGCAUUAUGCAUAAUCAUCCAGUUCCUGCUGCUGAGGCUUAUGGGAAGGACUGUCACUGGUGCCCUGAGCAGCUUUAUAUUCCAAAUGACAUACCUCUUGACUGGUUAUUACUACACAGCCACAAGAGAGUAUGAUAUCAAGUGGACCAUGCCCCACUGUGUCCUUGCUCUCAAACUCAUUGGUUUGUCACUUGACUACUAUGAUGGUGGAAAAGAACCAUCUCAGUUGAGCGCAGAGCAGAAGACCGCCGCUCUUCAAACCACUCCGUCUCUCUUGGAGGUUUUUGGUUUCUCGUACUUUUACGGUGGCUUCUUGGUAGGACCUCAGUUCACACUGCGCAACUACAAGCGUCUGGUUUCCCGAGAAAUGACUGACUGUCCCGGCCAGGUGCCCAACAGUAUUGUCCCUGCAUUAAAGCGCUUUUGUUUGGGUUCUUUCUUCCUGCUUAUCUUCACGAUAUUUGGACCAUAUUACCCAGACAGCUAUUUCCUUACAGACGAAUUUGAGGCUCAGCCAUUUUGGUACAGGUGUGUGUAUAUCCUGCUGUGGGCUAAAGUAAACCUGUACAAAUAUGUGACCUGCUGGCUAAUAACUGAGGGCGUGUGUAUCCUCUCUGGGCUCGGCUACAGCGGCCGUGAUGAGGAUGGGCAGCCCCAGUGGGACGCCUGUGCUAAUAUGAGAGUGUGGAUAUACGAGACCACGCCUCUUUUCACAGGCACCAUCAACUCCUUCAACAUUAACACCAACGCAUGGGUGGCCAGGCACAUUUUUAAGAGACUAAAAUUUUUGGGUAAUAAGAUGGCAUCGCAGUUUGCCACGCUGUUUUUCCUUGCUGUCUGGCAUGGCCUGCACUCCGGUUACCUGCUCUGCUUCUCCUUGGAGUUCAUCAUCGUCAACGUAGAGAAGCAGGCUCAGGCGCUUGUGAAGGACAGCCCGAAGUUGACGGCCUUCGCAAACAGCCCUCUGUAUCCCCUUAUAUACAUAGUACAGCAGUUCAUCCACUGGCUCUUCAUGGGCUACCCGCUACUAGCAUUCUGCCUCUUCACUUAUGACAAGUGGCUGAAGGUUUAUUCGUCUGUGUAUUUUUGUGGUCAUCUCUUUUUCUUCAUUGCCUACAUUAUCCUACCUUUCCUUCGUAAGGCACUGGUGCCUCGGAAAGCCAAGAGCGACAGAAAGGAAGACUAGACAGAAAUGGAUCUGAAGAAGAAUCCAGUGAGCAACCGCAUUGUACUUCAAUAAUAAAUGUUUUCUUUGGCUGGUCCUCCAUAAACUACCUGAAGGGAACUGUGAUUGAUUGGAAACUAUUUUAAGGCCUUUAACUAUAUAUUAUUAUAAAUAUAUACAUACAUGCAUAAACUGUACAAAAAUUUGUUUUCUUAAUAGUUUUUUUUUUUUUUGAAGAAGAAGCAGUUUGUAGGUUAAAGAGGAUAAGAUAAUGCUCUCUGAGGGGAGAGCUGUUUUGUCUUUUUUUCUUUUUCUUUUCUCUUUCUUUUGUGGAAAUGUGACGGGUGGUUAGGCUUGUGAGGAGACUUUUUGUUAUGAGAUAAGAGAAAUGCGCGUGCUAAUUAAUAUCCAUAACCAUUCGUACAGAUUUUUUCAGCCACAGUAUUGCACUCAUAGAUCUCUGUUCAUGGCAUCUCGGUGGCACCAAAUAAUCACGUGAUUUCUGGCAAAACCAAACACCCAGUCUGAGAGCUGGACAGGAGACUGUCUGCUUUCCUGGACUUCAUUUGGGGCUUUUGUGUGUAUUCUGAUUUGCCUUUCCUGUUUUCCAAAAUCUGAAGCCACUGGUCAGAUUUACACAAGACACUGUAAUAUAUAAAACACAGGACGUGCAGUGAAGCUUGGAUAUGCCUUGCCGUGUAAAUGAGUAUUAUUGUUGUUUCAUUUCUAAAUGAACAAAUUUUUCACAAUAUUUUUAGCAAUUUUAGAAUGGGUUGAUGGUUUUGUAAUUUUGUAGCUUUUUCAUAAAAAAAAGUCCACAACAAUGAACGAGAUGACCUAUUAUGAACCUUUUCUCUCUCUCUCUCUCUCUCUCUCUCUCUCUCUCUCUCUCUCUCUCAGACUCAUAUGUCCCGGCCUCUGUGUAAACUGGAACACGAGCAACAAAAAUUAUACACAUGCAGGAAAUCCUGUACAAAAAUUCACACUACUUGCCCAAAUUAUCCUUUUUGUAUUACUUAAGAUCUUAAUUACUUGGCACCAGGCAAACUAAACUGCAGCGAGGGAACUUUUUCUGCUUUCACUACUGACACAACGUCAAAAAGCGGUGACUCACUGUAGCUUUGGUGGAUUUUAAUAAUAUUUAUACUUGUUCAACAUUUCACUGAUGAUGUUCAUGUAACUAAUUUUGCCUUAUUGUUACCAAAUGUACGAAAAAAAUAUUUUAAAUGAACCAUUUCUUUUGCAAUGGUCAUUAAAAAUGCUGGUUUUGAUCAAA